UUCCAGACUCCUACGGGAGGCAGCAGUGGGGAAUAUUGGACAAUGGGGGGAACCCUGAUCCAGCGACGCCGCGUGAGUGAAGAAGUAUUUCGGUAUGUAAAGCUCUCUCAGCAGGGAAGAAGAAGGACGGUACCUGACUAAGAAGCCCCGGCUAACUACGUGCCAGCAGCCGCGGUAAUACGUAGGGAGCAAGCGUUGUCCGGAAUUACUGGGCGUAAAGGGCGCGUAGGUGGGUGCUUAAGUCAGGUGUGAAAACUCUGGGCUCAACCUGGAGACUGCACUUGAAACUGGGUAUCUUGAGGGCAGGAGAGGAAAGUGGAAUUCCUAGUGUAGCGGUGAAAUGCGUAGAUAUUAGGAGGAACACCAGUGGCGAAGGCGACUUUCUGGACUGUACCUGACGCUGAGGCGCGAAAGCGUGGGUAGCGAACGGGAUUAGAUACCCCAGUA
This 447-nucleotide ribosomal RNA is filed under the name uncultured bacterium. RNAcentral's name for it is "bacterial SSU rRNA". It matches the Rfam family "Bacterial small subunit ribosomal RNA", at positions 329 to 792 of the family's 1533-position model. The record is from RNAcentral.